UGGGGAAUAUUGCACAAUGGGGGAAACCCUGAUGCAGCGACGCCGCGUGAGCGAAGAAGGUUUUCGAAUCGUAAAGCUCUGUCCUAUGAGAAGAUAAUGACGGUAUCAUAGGAGGAAGCCCCGGCUAAAUACGUGCCAGCAGCCGCGGUAAUACGUAGGGUGCGAGCGUUGUCCGGAAUUACUGGGCGUAAAGAGCUCGUAGGCGGUUUGUCACGUCGUCUGUGAAAUCCUAGGGCUUAACCCUGGACGUGCAGGCGAUACGGGCUGACUUGAGUACUACAGGGGAGACUGGAAUUUCUGGUGUAGCGGUGGAAUGCACAGAUAUCAGGAAGAACACCGAUGGCGAAGGCAGGUCUCUGGGUAGUAACUGACGCUGAGGAGCGAAAGCAUGGGUAGCGAACAGG
This 404-nucleotide ribosomal RNA is filed under the name Verrucomicrobiota bacterium. RNAcentral's name for it is "Verrucomicrobia bacterium partial 16S ribosomal RNA". It matches the Rfam family "Bacterial small subunit ribosomal RNA", at positions 355 to 776 of the family's 1533-position model. The record is from RNAcentral. Lineage: Bacteria; Pseudomonadati; Verrucomicrobiota.